Molecule: transfer RNA, 74 nt
Filed under: Salvia splendens (bonfire salvia)
Lineage: Eukaryota; Viridiplantae; Streptophyta; Magnoliopsida; Lamiales; Lamiaceae
Description: tRNA-Met
Rfam family: tRNA
About the family: Transfer RNA (tRNA) molecules are approximately 80 nucleotides in length.
Source: RNAcentral
GGGGUGGUGGCGCAGUUGGCUAGCGCGUAGGUCUCAUAAUCCUGAGGUCUUGAGUUCGAGCCUCUCUCACCCCA